UGGGGAAUAUUGCACAAUGGGCGCAAGCCUGAUGCAGCCAUGCCGCGUGUAUGAAGAAGGCCUUCGGGUUGUAAAGUACUUUCAGCGGGGAGGAAGGGAGUAAAGUUAAUACCUUUGCUCAUUGACGUUACCCGCAGAAGAAGCACCGGCUAACUCCGUGCCAGCAGCCGCGGUAAUACGGAGGGUGCAAGCGUUAAUCGGAAUUACUGGGCGUAAAGCGCACGCAGGCGGUUUGUUAAGUCAGAUGUGAAAUCCCCGGGCUCAACCUGGGAACUGCAUCUGAAACUGGCAAGCUUGAGUCUGGUAGAGGGGGGUAGAAUUCCAGGUGUAGCGGUGAAAUGCGUAGAGAUCUGGAGGAAUACCGGUGGCGAAGGCGGCCCCCUGGACAAAGACUGACGCUCAGGUGCGAAAGCGUGGGGAGCAAACAGG
Molecule: ribosomal RNA, 429 nt
Filed under: Chloroflexota bacterium
Lineage: Bacteria; Bacillati; Chloroflexota
Description: Chloroflexi bacterium partial 16S ribosomal RNA
Rfam family: Bacterial small subunit ribosomal RNA
Source: RNAcentral